CAGUUACUGCUAUUUUGCUUAGUAGGGUAGAAUAGAGCACACCGUUUAUCUCGUACACAGAAAGCAGAACAUGUGUGCACCGCGCUCCUCUCCUCAGGCUGACGUAACGGCAGCGUGACGCAUAUCAGCACAUCGGACAGUGCAAUCAGAAAACCUGCCUGCCAAUUUAAAGAGGAGACAUACCGAGAGUACAGUCUCGGCAAGCCACGAGCAAGCUAGAUAAGUUACUACUAAAAGUCCCGAAGUGUUCAAAGUCGCGGAAGCCUGAGAAAACAACGAUUUACAGGAUUAGACCUGAUACAACGAGCGAGAGUAAACGAGAGGAAGAAGAAGCUCUGUAUGUCCCAUGCUCCUGGAAGAAGUUGCAUGUAGGCCAAAGAACCAGGAUCAGCUGUUCCUAAAGCAGUCCUUACCUGAAACAUUAGGAGGGAAACACACAACUGACCUAAGAUCAGCAUCUAGAGGAUAACUUUCUCCUAAUCCUGGUGUUUCCUGGCGACGGGAAUUGUUAUUGAUCUACUUCCUCGUUUAGCGAGAGGGGUAGAAGCCACAGCUAAUAGGCUACCAUGCAGCGCUUAAGGACUACAGUUGCUAGGCUAAGGCCUAUUACGGCCACCCAGACAGUCAAGAGCCAAUCACAGGCCAGGCCGAUGGCAGUGGGAGGGGCUUUGAGGACAUUUGAACCAAUCAGGAGUUACACUACGUCGGUGUCGGCCGAGCCUUUUCUGAAUGGGACCAGUUCUAAUUAUGUAGAAGAGAUGUACUAUGCAUGGCUGGAGAACCCUAGGAGUGUACACAAGUCGUGGGAUAUUAUCUUCCGGAAUGCCAACGCUGGGGUGUCACCAGGCGCAGCCUAUCAGAGCCCUCCUUCUCUGGGUGGUGCUGCUCUGGGAUUGGCCAACGCCCAGGCGAUGGUUGGAGCUCAACCUAACAUGGAGAAGUUAGUGGAGGACCAUCUGGCUGUACAGUCACUCGUACGAGCGUACCAGGUGCGGGGGCACCACAUAGCCAAGCUGGACCCUCUGGACAUCGGUGUGAUAGACUUUGAUGAGUCCCCAGUAAUGCUGGGCUUGAAGAAAGUUGGGUUUUAUGGUCUGGAUGAGUCUGACCUGGACAAGGUGUUCCGGCUCCCCACCACCACCUUCAUUGGGGGCAGCGAGAGCGUUCUGCCCCUCAGAGAGAUCAUAAGCCGCCUCGAGAUGGCAUACUGUCAGUCUAUUGGGGUAGAGUUCAUGUUCAUUAAUGACCUGGAGCAGUGCCAGUGGAUCAGACAGAAGUUUGAGAGGCCAGGUGUCAUGCAGUUUACCCUGGAGGAGAAGAGGACCUUGCUGACCAGAAUGGUUCGAUCCACCAAGUUCGAGGAGUUCCUCCAGAGGAAGUGGUCAUCAGAGAAGCGUUUUGGUCUGGAGGGCUGUGAGUCUCUCAUCCCGGCCCUGAAGACCAUCAUCGACAAGUCCAGCAUGAACGGAGUAGAGAGCAUCAUCAUGGGCAUGCCCCACAGGGGGAGGUUGAAUGUGUUGGCCAAUGUGAUCCAUAAGGAGCUGGAUCAGAUCUUCUGUCAGUUUGACUCCAACCUGGAAGCUGCUGAUGAGGGUUCUGGAGAUGUGAAGUACCAUUUGGGGAUGUGGCACCGUAGGAUCAACCGGGUCACUGAUAGGAACAUCACGCUGUCACUCAUGGCUAACCCCUCCCAUCUGGAGGCUGUGGACCCCGUGGUGCAGGGCAAGACCAAGGCUGAGCAGUUCUACUGUGGAGACACAGAGGGAAAAAGAGUGAUGUCCAUCCUGCUUCAUGGUGAUGCAGCGUUUGCAGGCCAGGGGGUUGUCUACGAGACCUUCCACCUCUCUGACCUGCCCUCCUACACCACCCACGGCACUGUCCAUGUGGUGGUCAACAACCAGGUAACACAUCCUACACCACCCACGGCACUGUCCAUGUGGUGGUCAACAACCAGGUAACACAUCCUGCAACACCAAACACACCACUGUCCAUGUGGUGGUCAACAACCAGGUAACACAUCCUGCAACACCAAACACACCACUGUCCAUGUGGUGGUCAACAACCAGGUAACACACCACUGUCCAUGUGGUGGUCAACAACCAGGUAACACAUCCUGCAACACCACCCACGGCACUGUCCAUGUGGUGGUCAACAACCAGGUAACACAUCCUGCAACACCAAACACACCACUGUCCAUGUGGUGGUCAACAACCAGGUAACACAUCCUGCAACACCAAACACACCACUGUCCAUGUGGUGGUCAACAACCAGGUAACACAUCCUGCAACACCAAACACACCACUGUCCAAGUUCUUCUGAUGAUCUUCAUUUGGUGUAUCGUGUCACUGACUCUUUGACAAAUCCUGAUUUUGUGGAGGUGAUGCUUGAAGUGGAGGGGGGUGUUUUACUGGAAAUUUGGGGUGUUUCUGUCAUGGAGAGGGGCUUACUUCCGUAAAUAGAGUUAGCUAGUGUACACAACAUUUGGUUCUGGGUUCUGAGAUUAACUACCAGGUAACAAACACACCUUAACUGCCCCAUGAAUGGCCUGUUGUUCUCUAUACCCUACACAAACACACACACAAAACCUCCUACAUCACUGUCACAUUCACAGAAGAACAACCCUGUUACACCCCCGCACCCACACACCCUCUAACCACCUGUCUCUUUUCCCUGUAGGUUGGUUUCACCACCGACCCCAGGGUGGCGAGGUCAUCAUCCUACCCUACAGACGUGGCCAAGGUGGUCAAUGCCCCCAUCUUCCACGUCAACGCUGAUGACCCCGAGGCCGUCAUGUACGUGUGUAACGUCGCCGCCGAGUGGAGAGCCACCUUUCACAAGGACGUGGUGGUAGACUUGGUGUGUUACAGGCGUAACGGCCACAAUGAGAUGGACGAGCCCUUGUUCACUCAGCCUCUGAUGUACAAGCAGAUCAAGAAGCAGAAAGGAGUCCUCCAGAAAUACUCUGAGAAACUCCUAGCAGAGGGAGCAGUCAGCAGACAGGACUAUGAGGAGGAGAUAGCCAAGUAUGACAAGAUCUGUGAGGAGGCUCACGCUCGCUCUAAAGACGAGAAGAUUCUACACAUCAAACACUGGCUGGACUCUCCCUGGCCCGGUUUCUUCAACGUGGACGGCCAGCCUAAGAGUAUGACCAGUCUGUCUACAGGCCUGCCUGAGGAGGAGCUGGUACACAUAGGAUACAUCGCUUCAUCUGUCCCUGUGGAAGACUUCACCAUACACAGAGUCACAGGCACCAUGUCCUGCAUGACCAGAAGAUUGAUAGGAGGAUCUGUAUCCCCAUGAACCACAUCUCUCCUAACCAGGCUCCAUACACCGUCUGUAACAGCUCUCUGUCGGAGUAUGGCGUACUGGGAUUUGAGCUGGGUUUUGCCUUGGCUAGUCCCAAUGCAUUGGUUCUAUGGGAGGCCCAGUUUGGAGACUUCCACAACACAGCCCAGUGUAUUAUAGACCAGUUCAUCUGCCCAGGACAGGCCAAGUGGGGCAGACAGAACGGAAUAGUCCUGCUGCUGCCCCACGGCAUGGAGGGAAUGGGACCAGAGCACUCCUCGGCCCGACCAGAGAGGUUCCUGCAGAUGUGUAACGAAGACCCAGAUACCUACCCUAUAUUCUCUGCUGAGGAGUUUGCAGUGCGUCAGCUGUAUGACUGUAACUGGAUCAUAGUCAACUGCUCUACACCGGCUAACUACUUCCACGUCCUCCGUAGACAAAUACUACAGGCCUUCAGGAAGCCUCUGAUAGUCAUUACCCCCAAGUCUCUGCUGCGCCACCCAGAGGCCAAGUCAAGCUUUGAUGACAUGCUGCCAGGUACCCACUUCCAGCGUCUGAUCCCAGACAGUGGUCCUGUGUGUGAGAACCCAGAGGCGGUGAAGAGGAUUGUGUUCUGUACUGGGAAGGUCUACUAUGAACUGACCCGAGAACGCAACAACAGAGGCAAUGAUGAUACUGUGGCCAUUGUGCGCAUAGAGCAGCUCUCUCCGUUUCCGUUUGACCAGGUGAAAGUGGAGACAGAUCGUUAUCCUAAUGCUGACCUGGUGUGGUGCCAGGAAGAACACAAGAACCAGGGUUACUAUGACUAUGUCAAACCCCGCCUACGAACCACCGUUGACCGCACCCGCCCCGUUUGGUAUGCUGGUCGUGGGCCAGCAGCAGCUCCAGCUACAGGGAACAAAGCAGCUCACCUGGUGGAAUUACAACGCUUCCUAGAUACAGCUUUUAACCUGGACGCAUUUACUGAACAGUCCUAACACACUUAUACACUACACCCUAACCCCAAUACCCUACACCUUAACCUUACCUCACCUGGUGGAGUUACAACACUUCCUAGAUACAGCUUUUAACCUGGACACUUACACUUGAAAGUCUUAGAAGACUGAUACCCUACACCCAAUGUACUACACCCUACUCAAUACACCCUUAUACCCUAGGCCUCCACUCCACUCUACCUGCUGGAGUUAUACGCUUUUUAACUAGAUGCAUAUACUUGAAAGUCUUAACACAGGGAUAUCCUGAUCCCUAGACCCUGGCUACACCCUACCCUUACCUCACUCUGCUGAAGUUACACUGCUUUUUAGUCAGGUUCACCUGGAUGCAUACACUUGAGUUUUAGCUCACCGUUACGCUCGUCGUCGGAUGAUAAAUGACCGGACCAAGGUGCAGCGUGGUAGGCGUACAUUCUCUCUUUAUUUGAAAACAUAACACCGGGAAAAAACAAUGCACACAAACCGAACGUAAAGCUAGUCAUGCAUAAACAAAGACAAGAUCCCACAACAAGGUGGGAAAAAGGGCUGCCUAAGUAUGAUCCCCAAUCAGAGACAACAAUAGACCGCUGCCUCUGAUUGGGAACCAUACCCGGCCAACAAAGAUAUAUACAAACUAGAAUGCCCACCCAAAUCACACCCUGACCUAACCAAAUAGAGAAAUAAAAAAAGUCUCUCUAAGGUCAGGGUGUGACACUCACUUAAACCCUACACCCUAACCCUUAUCCCUAAACCAGCAUACACUGGAUCGUCUGCUAUAGAAGACUUCCGCGAUACGCACACUGACUAACCAUAGGUCCUCUUGAACUGUUGAAUCAUGGGGGAAAUGUCCAUGGAGUCAGACAAACAAUGGACCCAUUUUAUCAACCAUACAAAUACUUUUGUACAUUUUUCUCUCUCUCCAUCUCUCCCUUCUCAUUCUCUUUCUUCUCCAUCCCUCUAUUCAUCGGUCUUUUCACCCUCCUUCCUUUAUUCUCCCCACUCAUCCCCUUCUCUUUUUUCUCUCCUCUUGACCAAUCACUCUCUCCCUCUGUUUUCUCCUCCUCUCUUCUCCUCCCUCUCUUCCACCUCCUGUGCCAAAUGUAAACAAGCUGUUAAGAGAUUACUGGAUGAGAAAUGACUAGUAUAUUAUUAUACUAUUACAUUAUUAUACUAUUAUAUUAUUAUAUUAUAUCAAACAUUGUAUAAGAUACAGUAGUAACUUAUGAAGAGACGAGGUGAAAAUGUCUACUGGUCUGGUGGGGAUCUCUUUGGAACUAAAUAAAGGAUUUAUUUAUGUUAGUAUAGUGUUUUAUGUUUGUCCUUUUAUAAUUUAUUCAUUCAAUAAAGACAUGACAUUGUCUGUUUUCAACGUGA
RNA transcript from Oncorhynchus kisutch (coho salmon), 5630 nucleotides. It is a transcript of the gene named 2-oxoglutarate dehydrogenase, mitochondrial, with no coding region annotated. The transcript has 21 exons. The record is from RefSeq and is a predicted model, not a curated record. NCBI's taxonomy places the organism in Eukaryota, Metazoa, Chordata, Actinopteri, Salmoniformes, Salmonidae.